CUACGGGCGGCAGCAGUGGGGAAUAUUGGACAAUGGGAGAAAUCCUGAUCCAGCAAUUCUGUGUGCAUGAUGACGGUCUUCGGAUUGUAAAGUGCUUUCGACAGGGAAGAAUAAAUUGACGGUACCUGUAUAAGAAGCGACGGCUAAAUACGUGCCAGCAGCCGCGGUAAUACGUAUGUCGCAAGCGUUAUCCGGAAUCACUGGGCAUAAAGGGCGUCUAGGCGGUUUAAAAAGUCAGUGGUGAAAGGUAUGGGCUCAACCCGUGCAUUGCCAUUGAAACUCUUAGACUAGAGUAUGGGAGAGGAGGGCGGAACUACAAGAGUAGCGGUGAAAUGCGUAGAUAUUUGUAGGGGUGCCAAUGACGAAGGUAGCUCUCUGGACCAAUACUGACGCUAAAGCGCGAAAGCUAGGGUAGCAAACAGGAUUAGAUACCCCUGUAGUC
This 442-nucleotide ribosomal RNA is filed under the name uncultured bacterium. RNAcentral's name for it is "partial 16S ribosomal RNA". It matches the Rfam family "Bacterial small subunit ribosomal RNA", at positions 339 to 795 of the family's 1533-position model. The record is from RNAcentral.